This 322-nucleotide ribosomal RNA is filed under the name Sandonidae sp. RNAcentral describes it as "SSU rRNA". It matches the Rfam family "Eukaryotic small subunit ribosomal RNA", at positions 634 to 955 of the family's 1831-position model. The record is from RNAcentral. Lineage: Eukaryota; Cercozoa; Glissomonadida; Sandonidae.
GAUUUCUGGCUUGAAACAUUUUGCCGGCCACGGUUUCGUGUGUUAGUGCUUGAUGUUCUGGCCAUCCUUCCAAUCGCUACUCACCUUUCUUCAUUGAUGGGGGAGUGGUAUUGGAUCUUUUACUUUGAAAAAAUUAGAGUGUUUCAAGCAGGCUUUAUGCUAUGAAUACAUUAGCAUGGAAUAAUAAUUUAGGACUUCGGUUCUAUUUUGUUGGUUUCUAGGACUAAAGUAAUGAUUGAUAGGGAUAGUUGGGGGUGCUAGUAUUCAGCGGCCAGAGGUGAAAUUCUUGGAUUCGCUGAAGACUAACUUAUGCGAAAGCAUU